RNAcentral lists this ribosomal RNA (450 nucleotides) under uncultured bacterium. RNAcentral's name for it is "partial 16S ribosomal RNA". It matches the Rfam family "Bacterial small subunit ribosomal RNA", at positions 354 to 796 of the family's 1533-position model. The record is from RNAcentral.
GUGGGGAAUAUUCCGCAAUGGACGAAAGUCUGACGGAGCAACGCCGCGUGAGUGAUGAAGGUUUUCGGACUGUAAAGCUCUGUUGUUUAGGACGAAAGUGCCUGUUGCAAAUAGUUACAGGUAUUGACGGUACUGAACGAGGAAGCCACGGCUAACUACGUGUCAGCAGCCGCGGUAAUACGUAGGUGGCAAGCGUUGUCCGGAAUUAUUGGGCGUAAAGAGCAUGUAGGCGGGAAUCUAAGUCUGUUGUGAAAAUGCGGGGCUCAACCCCGUAUUGCGAUGGAAACUGGGUUUCUUGAGUGCAGGAGAGGAAAGGGGAAUUCCCAGUGUAGCGGUGAAAUGCGUAGAUAUUGGGAGGAACACCAGUGGCGAAGGCGCCUUUCUGGACUGUGUCUGACGCUGAGAUGCGAAAGCCAGGGUAGCGAACGGGAUUAGAAACCCCUGUAGUCC